GUUACAAGUGUCACACGGAACUGCCGGUCAUAAACCGGAGGAAGUGGGGAUGACGUCAAGUCAGCAUGGCCUUUAUAUCCUGGGCUACACACACGCUACAAUGGGAAGGGACAAUAGGUUGCGAAGCCGCGAGGCGGAGCCAAUCCAGCAAACUUCCCUCAGUUCAGAUUGCAGGCUGCAACCCGCCUGCAUGAAGUUGGAGUUGCUAGUAAACGCAGGUCAGCCAUACUGCGUUGAAUACGUUCCCGGGCUU
Molecule: ribosomal RNA, 253 nt
Filed under: uncultured Anaerolineaceae bacterium
Lineage: Bacteria; Bacillati; Chloroflexota; Anaerolineae; Anaerolineales; Anaerolineaceae
Description: partial 16S ribosomal RNA
Rfam family: Bacterial small subunit ribosomal RNA
Source: RNAcentral